RNAcentral lists this ribosomal RNA (468 nucleotides) under uncultured bacterium. RNAcentral's name for it is "partial 16S ribosomal RNA". It matches the Rfam family "Bacterial small subunit ribosomal RNA", at positions 28 to 507 of the family's 1533-position model. The record is from RNAcentral.
GACGAACGCUGGCGGCGUGCUUAACACAUGCAAGUCGAACGGAAAGGCCCUGCUUUUGUUGGGUGCUCGAGUGGCGAACGGGUGAGUAACACGUGAGUAACCUGCCCUUGACUUUGGGAUAACUUCAGGAAACUGGGUCUAAUACCGGAUAGGAGCUCCUGCUGCAUGGUGGGGGUUGGAAAGUUUCGGCGGUUGGGGAUGGACUCGCGGCUUAUCAGCUUGUUGGUGGGGUAGUGGCGUACCAAGGCUUUGACGGGUAGCCGGCCUGAGAGGGUGACCGGGGACAUUGGGACUACGAUACGGACCAGACUCCUACGGGAGGCAGCGGUGGAGAAUAUUGCACAACGGGGGGGAGUGUGAGACGGCAACGUCGCGUGCGGGAUGACGGGUUACGGGUUGUAAACCGCUUUCGACUGUGACGAAGCGUGAGUGACGGUAAUGAGUAAAGAAGCAACGGCUAACUACGUG